CAUUGUGUAUAUGGACGACAUAAUGAUUGUAGCUCCAACCAAGGAAACGGCACUCGAAAGGUUAAAGAUUGUUUUGGAUAUUUUAUCAAAGGCAGGAUUUUCAUUCAAUGUUGAAAAAUGCUUCUUUCUGAGGACUUCUGUCCAAUAUUUAGGAUUCGAAGUACGAGCAGGUCAGUGACAACAUUGAGACAGUUCAUUGGGUUAGCAUCGUACUUUCGUCAGUUUGUUCCAGGAUUUUCACAGCUAAUGAAGCCUUUAUAUUUUCUCACCUCAGAGAAAAAUAAAUUUGAGUGGAAUAUAGAACAUGAGGAAAUUCGUAGAAAAAUUAUUCACAUUCUUACUAAUAAACCAGUUUUGAUUAUCUUUGACCCGCAAUAUCCAAUAGAGUUACACACCGAUGCGAGUGCAAUCGGAUAUGGUGCUAUACUCUUGCACAGAAUUGAAAAUAAACCGUAUGUAGUGGAAUACUACAGUAAGACAACAUGUGUAUGCGAAUCUAAAUAUACUUCGUAUGAGUUGGAAACUCUUGCGGUGGUAAAUGCAGUCAAGCAUUUCCGGCACUACUUACAUGGCAGAAAGUUUGUAAUAUUCACUGAUUGUAAUUCUUUAAAA
This is a long non-coding RNA of Drosophila mauritiana, 612 nucleotides long. RefSeq lists it as uncharacterized. The record is from RefSeq and is a predicted model, not a curated record. The transcript has 2 exons. Lineage: Eukaryota; Metazoa; Arthropoda; Insecta; Diptera; Drosophilidae.